This 125-nucleotide transfer RNA is filed under the name Bipolaris sorokiniana ND90Pr. RNAcentral's name for it is "tRNA-Glu (CTC) (tRNA-Glu-CTC-4-1)". It matches the Rfam family "tRNA". From Rfam's summary of the family: Transfer RNA (tRNA) molecules are approximately 80 nucleotides in length. Their secondary structure includes four short double-helical elements and three loops (D, anti-codon, and T loops). Further hydrogen bonds mediate the characteristic L-shaped molecular structure. tRNAs have two regions of fundamental functional importance: the anti-codon, which is responsible for specific mRNA codon recognition, and the 3' end, to which the tRNAs corresponding amino acid is attached (by aminoacyl-tRNA synthetases). tRNAs cope with the degeneracy of the genetic code in two manners: having more than one tRNA (with a specific anti-codon) for a particular amino acid; and 'wobble' base-pairing, i.e. permitting non-standard base-pairing at the 3rd anti-codon position. The record is from RNAcentral. Lineage: Eukaryota; Fungi; Ascomycota; Dothideomycetes; Pleosporales; Pleosporaceae.
UCCGAUAUGGUCUAGUGGCUAGGAUUUGCCGCUCUCACCGGCAAGGCCCGGGUAAGUUCAAUCACCACGAGUUAAUCCUAACACUCAUUCUAAUUCGCCUUUAGGUUCGAUUCCCGGUGUCGGAA